This 1520-nucleotide ribosomal RNA is filed under the name Salmonella enterica. RNAcentral's name for it is "bacterial SSU rRNA". It matches the Rfam family "Bacterial small subunit ribosomal RNA". Lineage: Bacteria; Pseudomonadati; Pseudomonadota; Gammaproteobacteria; Enterobacterales; Enterobacteriaceae. The record is from RNAcentral.
GCUGGCGGCAGGCCUAACACAUGCAAGUCGAACGGUAACAGGAAGCAGCUUGCUGCUUUGCUGACGAGUGGCGGACGGGUGAGUAAUGUCUGGGAAACUGCCUGAUGGAGGGGGAUAACUACUGGAAACGGUGGCUAAUACCGCAUAACGUCGCAAGACCAAAGAGGGGGACCUUCGGGCCUCUUGCCAUCAGAUGUGCCCAGAUGGGAUUAGCUUGUUGGUGAGGUAACGGCUCACCAAGGCGACGAUCCCUAGCUGGUCUGAGAGGAUGACCAGCCACACUGGAACUGAGACACGGUCCAGACUCCUACGGGAGGCAGCAGUGGGGAAUAUUGCACAAUGGGCGCAAGCCUGAUGCAGCCAUGCCGCGUGUAUGAAGAAGGCCUUCGGGUUGUAAAGUACUUUCAGCGGGGAGGAAGGUGUUGUGGUUAAUAACCGCAGCAAUUGACGUUACCCGCAGAAGAAGCACCGGCUAACUCCGUGCCAGCAGCCGCGGUAAUACGGAGGGUGCAAGCGUUAAUCGGAAUUACUGGGCGUAAAGCGCACGCAGGCGGUCUGUCAAGUCGGAUGUGAAAUCCCCGGGCUCAACCUGGGAACUGCAUUCGAAACUGGCAGGCUUGAGUCUUGUAGAGGGGGGUAGAAUUCCAGGUGUAGCGGUGAAAUGCGUAGAGAUCUGGAGGAAUACCGGUGGCGAAGGCGGCCCCCUGGACAAAGACUGACGCUCAGGUGCGAAAGCGUGGGGAGCAAACAGGAUUAGAUACCCUGGUAGUCCACGCCGUAAACGAUGUCUACUUGGAGGUUGUGCCCUUGAGGCGUGGCUUCCGGAGCUAACGCGUUAAGUAGACCGCCUGGGGAGUACGGCCGCAAGGUUAAAACUCAAAUGAAUUGACGGGGGCCCGCACAAGCGGUGGAGCAUGUGGUUUAAUUCGAUGCAACGCGAAGAACCUUACCUGGUCUUGACAUCCACAGAAGAAUCCAGAGAUGGAUUUGUGCCUUCGGGAACUGUGAGACAGGUGCUGCAUGGCUGUCGUCAGCUCGUGUUGUGAAAUGUUGGGUUAAGUCCCGCAACGAGCGCAACCCUUAUCCUUUGUUGCCAGCGGUUAGGCCGGGAACUCAAAGGAGACUGCCAGUGAUAAACUGGAGGAAGGUGGGGAUGACGUCAAGUCAUCAUGGCCCUUACGACCAGGGCUACACACGUGCUACAAUGGCGCAUACAAAGAGAAGCGACCUCGCGAGAGCAAGCGGACCUCAUAAAGUGCGUCGUAGUCCGGAUUGGAGUCUGCAACUCGACUCCAUGAAGUCGGAAUCGCUAGUAAUCGUGGAUCAGAAUGCCACGGUGAAUACGUUCCCGGGCCUUGUACACACCGCCCGUCACACCAUGGGAGUGGGUUGCAAAAGAAGUAGGUAGCUUAACCUUCGGGAGGGCGCUUACCACUUUGUGAUUCAUGACUGGGGUGAAGUCGUAACAAGGUAACCGUAGGGGAACCUGCGGUUGGAUCACCUCCUUACCUUAAAGAAGC